Small nucleolar RNA from Suricata suricatta (meerkat), 100 nucleotides. The record is from Ensembl. NCBI's taxonomy places the organism in Eukaryota, Metazoa, Chordata, Mammalia, Carnivora, Herpestidae.
AUCUUUAAAAGCUCAAGCUGAUGGUUGGGUGUUCAUGCUGUUAUGUAACAUGCACCUCCCUCAAAUCUUGUUAAGACCUCGGCACUUUACUCAUAUGAUG